AUUUCCCUCCACCUUUUAAUGUUUUUGAUAUGGAUCGUAAGUAAUCUAUUCUUUUUUAUGUAGUUUCAAUUGCUAUUAAGAAAACUAUCAACCAGAAUUUAAAUGAUAUGGAGGUAAACAACUGUAUGUCACCAUACAAUCUUCAACAAUGAAAAAACAUUUACAACUAGUCAGCUAUAUAUGGCACUGACACGACAACACGUGAAGCAAUCCAGACGAAACAAAAUUGGAUGUAUUAAUUAUAAAACGACAAUCACUGAAUUACAGGUUGCUGUCUUGGAAAGGUCACAUAGAGAAUAUUGCGGAAUCAAACAUGAGUGAGCUCUAACUACACAAGAACAAUCUGCAAUGAAUCAGUUGGAAAUGUCCUAUAUUGAAAUAUUGGUAUAAAUCAAUAGAACCAACCAACUUACUCAAAAUUAAAAGACAUAACGUACAGAUCUAAGCCUACUCGUAGCUACUUACAGCUAUUUCAUAUCCAAUAACUAGUAAUACAUAAAUCGUAUUUUCCUAGAAUAAGGUAUCAAUCAGAACACACC
Molecule: long non-coding RNA, 539 nt
Filed under: Mytilus galloprovincialis (Mediterranean mussel)
Lineage: Eukaryota; Metazoa; Mollusca; Bivalvia; Mytilida; Mytilidae
Source: RNAcentral